This 542-nucleotide long non-coding RNA is filed under the name Vigna radiata. RNAcentral describes it as "long non-coding RNA (VRAD_LNC018354)". Lineage: Eukaryota; Viridiplantae; Streptophyta; Magnoliopsida; Fabales; Fabaceae. The record is from RNAcentral.
GAUGUAAGACCAGGAUAAAAUGAAAAUAACUUUUAUUUUUAUUUUUAUUUUUAUAUUUUCAAAUAUUUAUAUUUAUUUAUGGUAUUUUAUUAUUCUGUGCGCGAGUUUGAAGUGAAAGCUGCGGCUGCUACCCUACCCUCUUCCCUUUCUUUCUUAAUAUCAGGUAUCCAAGAUUUGGAAAUUUUUUAAAGUCUUGGUUUUUUAGACUUAGGGGCUGCAAUGCACUCUUUAAAUCCCCAAAUGACGACUAGUGUCAAAAUAUAGGUGCAACAAAUGUUUCAAUUUAGUUUCUUUUCAAGCUAGCUAUGUUUGGUGGUGAGAUUGGGGACAAAAAUGUUUCCAAAUUUUUGGUUUUUGAAUUUACACUUCAAAAUCAAAAUUUCAUUAAAGUUCAGGCAAUAUUUUUUAAUAUAAAAAGUGAUAAAUAGUACUUCAGAACUGAUAAUAUUAUAGAUAAAAGGAUAUGAUGAUAAUAUAAUAGAUAGUAUUGGACCACUGUCUCUCCACCACAACGAUUCACAACCAUAGUGUUGUCGGUGUCG